GACUAGUGACAGAGUGAGAGAGGGGGUGACUAGUGACAGAGUGAGGGAGGGAGUGACUAGUGACAGAGAGAGGGAUGGGGUGACUAGUGACAGUCACCCCCUCUCUCACUCUGUCACUAGUCACACCCUCGCUCACUCUGUCAUUAGUCAC
Molecule: non-coding RNA, 151 nt
Organism: Pelobates cultripes (western spadefoot toad)
Lineage: Eukaryota; Metazoa; Chordata; Amphibia; Anura; Pelobatidae
Source: the annotation of a GenBank genome assembly